GACAUCCAGAGAAUUUAGCAGAGAUGCUUUAGUGCCUUCGGGAACUCUGAGACAGGUGCUGCAUGGCUGUCGUCAGCUCGUGUUGUGAAAUGUUGGGUUAAGUCCGCAACGAGCGCAACCCUUAUCCUUUUGUUGCCAGCACGUAAUGGUGGGAACUCAAAGGAGACUGCCGGUGAUAAACCGGAGGAAGGUGGGGAUGACGUCAAGUCAUCAUGGCCCUUACGAGUAGGGCUACACACGUGCUACAAUGGCGUAUACAAAGAGAAGCGACCUCGCGAGAGCAAGCGGACCUCAUAAAGUGCGUCGUAGUCCGGAUUGGAGUCUGCAACUCGACUCCAUGAAGUCGGAAUCGCUAGUAAUCGUAAAUCAGAAUGUUACGGUGAAUACGUUCCCGGGCCUUGUACACACCGCCCGUCACACCAUGGGAGUGGGUUGCAAAAGAAGUAGAUAGCUUAACCUUCGGGAGGGCGUUUACCACUUUGUGAUUCAUGACUGGGGUGAAGUCGUAACAAGGUAAGCGUAGUGCU
This 527-nucleotide ribosomal RNA is filed under the name uncultured bacterium. RNAcentral's name for it is "bacterial SSU rRNA". It matches the Rfam family "Bacterial small subunit ribosomal RNA", at positions 983 to 1509 of the family's 1533-position model. The record is from RNAcentral.